This 565-nucleotide ribosomal RNA is filed under the name uncultured bacterium. RNAcentral's name for it is "partial 16S ribosomal RNA". It matches the Rfam family "Bacterial small subunit ribosomal RNA", at positions 355 to 912 of the family's 1533-position model. The record is from RNAcentral.
UGGGGAAUUUUGGACAAUGGGCGAAAGCCUGAUCCAGCAAUGCCGCGUGUGUGAAGAAGGCCUUCGGGUUGUAAAGCACUUUUGUCCGGAAAGAAAUCCUUGGCUCUAAUACAGUCGGGGGAUGACGGUACCGGAAGAAUAAGCACCGGCUAACUACGUGCCAGCAGCCGCGGUAAUACGUAGGGUGCAAGCGUUAAUCGGAAUUACUGGGCGUAAAGCGUGCGCAGGCGGUUUGCUAAGACCGAUGUGAAAUCCCCGGGCUCAACCUGGGAACUGCAUUGGUGACUGGCAGGCUAGAGUAUGGCAGAGGGGGGUAGAAUUCCACGUGUAGCAGUGAAAUGCGUAGAGAUGUGGAGGAAUACCGAUGGCGAAGGCAGCCCCCUGGGCCAAUACUGACGCUCAUGCACGAAAGCGUGGGGAGCAAACAGGAUUAGAUACCCUGGUAGUCCACGCCCUAAACGAUGUCAACUAGUUGUUGGGGAUUCAUUUCCUUAGUAACGUAGCUAACGCGUGAAGUUGACCGCCUGGGGAGUACGGUCGCAAGAUUAAAACUCAAAUGGAAUUG